Lolium rigidum is the source of this 384-nucleotide long non-coding RNA. RefSeq lists it as uncharacterized. Lineage: Eukaryota; Viridiplantae; Streptophyta; Magnoliopsida; Poales; Poaceae. The transcript is spliced from 2 exons. The record is from RefSeq and is a predicted model, not a curated record.
CAAGGUCGAAAGCUGGCUCCAUCACUGUGAAUAUUAUUUUAUCCAGAAACACUAAUUACAAUAGGGGAUUAGGCGGUGAUGGUGUCUUCGUCUCAGGAAACGCUGGACCUACUUUGGGAUCAAGGAGAACAAAUAUAAAUAGGUUCUGCUGGAGGAAGUGGAGGAGAAGGAAUGCCUGCCGCCGGUGAGUACUCAGGGUAUUGCCAUCAAUAAGAACAUGGGGGAUCAGACUACCGCCAACUAACUAGAUCAUCUUGAUUCUGAUAUUAUCCCAGUACACUGUUAGCAUAGCUUUGCAUCUAAUAGCUCACACCAAUCUAUGGUUUCCUUGUGCUUAGAUGUUUUAUUAGACAGAUGUAUAAUGCAUUUCUCAAAGUACUGAAC